GAAGACGAGUGGCAAAGUUGAAGGGGAGACAACGAGGCCCCUGAGCAUUAAACAGAGUAUAUUCUACACACCUACUCUAGGAGAUUAAAGAGGUGGAUUUGCAGCAGUUCUUCAGACUGACUAAUUUAUAUGUAUAUCAAGGAUUCAGCUGGAGAAUUUUUUUUAAAAGAGGAGCUGAGGGAAAAUACGAUGCUCUCACAUUCCCAGUGGUGUUGCCACGUUCAUUUUACUGGCACGUUCAUUCUUUAGUACUUUCAUGGAUUGACAUGAGGGAGGAAUUCGCAUGUCAUGGAAGAUAACAUCUCACUGUUGCCAAAGGAGUCUAUUCAGACAUGCAUGUUAGUGGGUUGAUAACUUAUUCGGUAUUGCAGAGGACUCAAAGAUAGACAUUUCGCCUUUUAUCUCCAUCUCUGUGCUCCCUGCAUACUAAAGAUAGUGCAAAACAGCCAGACACAUCUUAACUAACCCACACAGAAAAGAGGGAUAUUUGCCUGCCUGCUGCAAGGAGGGGCUGCAAAGGUAAAGCAACGCGGUGUCAAAUGGAUAACGACAAAGAAAUUAAACACUUUCAUACACCCAACUUGAGCUGUUGGUGAAGGUAAUUUUAAAUCACAAAUCUAAUGAUAAUUUGACCAGAGAUGUAAAAUAAAUGGAUUCUAAACAUUUUGGUGCUGUCUGGUACAGGGAGAAGAAAGAAUAGUGAUGCUGCAAAAUUUAAAAAAAAAUAUGUAGACUAUCUCCUACGUGCCUUAGCAGACCCAUAUUUUGAGAUAAAGGAAGGAAAAUGAGAACUAAUUCAGCAAUGAUGAUAAUAUGCAUUAAAACAUAAAAAUGAAAACACAGGUAAGAGAACUAUGAUGUAAUCCCUGAAAGCUCCCUUCCCAAGAGACUUGAGGAGCCCAAACCCAUAACUCUCAGAAGACAUGAAUGGUUCAUGUUCAGAACAACUCAUCACACCUUUGGGGAAGAAUUGCAGAUGCAGACAAGUGUGGGUGCCUGAUAACACGGAUACAAGAUGGAUACAAAUGCUAUCAGCAAUCUUGUGCAUUAGGAAUGUACACUGCAACAGCCAAGUUGACACCACCAGAAUAAAUACAGAUUUUUUUCUUUCCUAAGAAGAAGAAAAAAGGCAAGAUCAUCUACCCAGUACAAGCCUGCUGAUUCAGAGUUAACGCUUUGCUAUAUUAUCUGUUCAAGAUACACAAAGUAUUAUUCCUCACUUCAGGGAGAAAAGAGGUAUCUGAACAAGUCCAAAUUGAUAAUAAAAAUUUGAAAGAUACAUACA
RNAcentral lists this long non-coding RNA (1285 nucleotides) under Oryctolagus cuniculus (rabbit). RNAcentral's name for it is "lncRNA (ENSOCUG00000031981.1)". The record is from RNAcentral. Lineage: Eukaryota; Metazoa; Chordata; Mammalia; Lagomorpha; Leporidae.